RNAcentral lists this long non-coding RNA (1432 nucleotides) under Homo sapiens (human). Its description in RNAcentral is "HSALNT0214654". The record is from RNAcentral. Lineage: Eukaryota; Metazoa; Chordata; Mammalia; Primates; Hominidae.
UAGUAGAGACGGGGUUUCGCCGUGUUGGCCAGGAUGGUCUUGAUCUCCUGACCUCGUGAUCCGCCCACCUCGGCCUCCCAAAGUGCUGGGAUUACUUACAGGCGUGAGCCACAGCGCCCAGCCAAGUAUAGAUAUUUAAUGAAGUGAAAUCAUACUAUCUAUAACACCGUAUGGAUCUUUUCACUUAAUAUUCUCUUGUCAGUAAAAAUCUUUCUAGAUAACUUAGAGACAGCAUAACCUCCCCUCACAUGGAUGCACUGCAGACUGUUUAACCCUUUCUUUAUUGUCAAUGAUUUAAGUGGUUUCACAUUGUCAUGCCACAUACAAUGGAAUGGGUAAUGCCAGCUCACAAUUAUUGAGCAUUUAUUAUGCACCAAUCAUUCGACAUGUAUUAACUCAUCUAAUCCUCAUGACAGUGCUAUGAUAUGCAUACAGUUAUUACGGAUACAGGUCCAGGUGAGAAAUGAAGCUCUCUUCAGAAGAUGAACAAACUUGCCCAAGUUUGGGUAAUACUACAGCAGGCCUUGAACCCAGGUUGCCUGACUCCAGAAUCCAUACUCUUAGCCACUCACAUGCUCAUGUUUUCUCCUAGCAUCUCUGAUUAUCUAUCUUAGGGUAGAAUUCGGAUAGGCAGAAUGGCAGUUCAUCAGGCUAUAUUUAUUGAGGGCUUAGUUUGUGCAUUUUCCAUGGGCUCACUGAGUUAAUCCUCAUGACUCCAAGAAGUGGUCUGUUAACUGGCCGAAGCCACGCUGGUUGGCUCCAGUAGCUAGACUCUGCCUGGAACCUCUGUGUGGUAGCCAGUCAUUAGCGGUGGUGAGGGCUACGGCCUCUCCCUGACAAGCUCACCUUGCCAGACGGUGCCCCCAUGAAUGCAAAAUGCAGUCAGAUCCCGCUAUCGGAAAGAGGUAACAAAGCGCAGUCAGGUCACGCCAUUGGAAACAGGUAACAAAGCAGUCAGGUCACACCAUCAGAAACAAACAUCAGAAACAGGUAACAAAUCACAGUUGGGUCACACCACCAGAAACAGGUAACAAAGCGUAGUCAGGUCACACCAUCGGAAAUGGGUAACGAAGCGCAGUCAUGUCACACCAUCAGAAACAGGUAACAAAGUGCAGUUGGGUCACACCACCAGAAACAACCAUCAGAAACAGGUAACAAAACACAGUCGGGUCACACCAUCAGAAACAACCAUCAGAAACAGGUAACAAAGCGCAGUCAGGUCACACCAUCGGAAACAGGUAACAAAACACAGUCGGGUCACACCAUCAGAAACAACCAUCAGAAACAGGUAACAAAGCACAGUCAGGUCACACCAUCGGAAACGGGUAACGAGGCACAGUUGGGUCACGCCAUCAGAAACAACCAUCAAAACAGGUAACAAAGUGCAGUCGGGUCAUGCCAUCAGAAACGGGUAACGAAGCGCACUCGGGUC